This 2793-nucleotide long non-coding RNA is filed under the name Lotus japonicus. RNAcentral describes it as "long non-coding RNA (LJAP_LNC000775)". The record is from RNAcentral. Lineage: Eukaryota; Viridiplantae; Streptophyta; Magnoliopsida; Fabales; Fabaceae.
AUUGCUAAUUUACUUUGAAAUAUUUAAUUUAAGCAAUAAGUUAAUUUUAUUGUGUAAUAUAUUUAUUACAAAGAAAAUGUGAUGUUUGGUACAAUGCAUUCAAGUAUGGGUUCUUUUACCUAUGCGCUGCACAGAUUUGUUUUAAGUUGUAAUUUUAAAUUGUGAUAUUUUAAUUUGUAUAAAGGUAAGAAUAUUAAAUGAAAGUUCAUCAAAAACUUCAUUGUACACUAAAUUUUUUCGUAUAUUACGCAUAUGUAUCAUCUUUCUCAACAAUAAGUAUUUCAAUCCCUUUGGUAAUCUUACUUUAAACAACGCAAAUAUAAUUGGUCAUGAGAGCAUAUAUGUCUUGGCAAAUAUAAUCUCCCAUAGUUCAAUGACUGAUUUUGGCUUUUGUUAAUUGUCAUGGUGUAACAAACUUUAUUGAAAAUUGUUUCUUCUUAGCAUAAAAUAUCAUUUAGAAUUAUUUGUGGUAAAAACUAUAUGUGUUAUAAGCACUUUUGCACCAGUGUUACUUCCUGAAGUAUUUGCGACUCUAUUUUCUAUUCUCCUAGAUGUACAAUAAUUAGUUUUAUUUCAUUGCACAUUCCUAGGGUUGGAUUGAUGUUCCUGAGUAGCAUAAUUGACAUUCCUACUUUAAGGUGCAACAAUGGUUUGGGUAUUAUUGAAAUUUAAAGAAUUCAAGAACUUCACCGGAUACAUGAACUCUUGUUCAGUUAUAUAUAUUAUCAUUUGCAAUAUCCAUUUGUUGAAUUCAGAUGCCAAUAAAUUAAGUUGAGCAGAUGAUGAAGUGUCAACGAUCAUACUUUUAGAAAACAUAAAGAUCUUGAAGAAACCAACAAUGUCUUUUAGUGUUCUAUCAAGGGAUUCAAAUGCCAACCUUUUAGUCAUAGGUGUUUCAUUCCAAAUAAUCAAAUCUAUUUGAAUUAUUAAUUGAGCAAGCUGAGUAUUUUACUUGAUUAAGCUCGUACUAUCUUCAAAAACAUCUAGAGGUAUUUUAAAUCGACUAUGAGUGUUGUACCUCAAGGUAGUAAUUAAUAAUGAUACGCUCCCUGGAAUUUUUAAAAAAAUAAAAGAUUAGAGUACAAUGAAUUUAAUACAUAUUAAUAUAGUGUGAUUAUUUAGUUUGUAAAAAUGUAUUUUUAAGUUACUAAAAAAAUGUAUUAUUAAGUUCAAUCAUCAUUGAUUAAAUAAAAAGAUAAAUAUUUGUUAAAUAUUUUUUAGUAAGAAUAAUUCAAAUAUUUAUCAUCAAUAACAAAAGUAAAUAUUAAAAUUACGUUUUAGUUUUGUAAAUAGAACAAAAAAAUUACAAAAUUAAGAAUUUUAAAAUAUGAAACCAUGACAAAUUAAUAUUAUGGCUAAAUAUUUUUUUAAAAAAAAGGCAACCACCGUAAAAAAAAAAAAGGAAGGCAGCCCAACAAUAGGAGUAAGUCCACAUUGAAUUAAAAAAAAAUUGACAAAAAAAAUAAAUAAAUAAAAAAUAACAAAUAUAUGAGAAAAGGGAGAGUGAGACACGCUUCCCCUUUUUGUCAAAACAAAAACCCUAGCCACCACACCUGGCCUCUCCUCUUCUCCUCCUCCUUCCCUUACGACCACGAAACCACCAGCCAGGCCUCCGACAACUUCCGUCGGACAUGCGACCCACACCACUGACCCCCGUCCCACCCAAUUUUGUUUCUUUGUCAAACUUGUGUUGCACAGGACAAAUGACCACCGCUGCGUGACUUCCAGCGAGGCCCAUAGAGUUCAUAAUUGUAGACUAAAGUAGUAGUGUUACCAUGAUAUUCUCUCUAUGGUAUGGUCAUAUAAUGGAGUUUGAAUUGAAGGUUCCUCCUCUCCCUCCAUGUCAUUGAUUUGUGGAGGUAUUUUCUUCACUGCCUUUUGUUCUUUGUGGGCUAUAUUAAAUAAUAGUAUUAAAACAACCAUUUAAAAUUUCUUGUUUGUUGGUUCUUAUUGUCAUUAAAUUAAAUAAUAGUAUUAAAACAACCAUUUAAACCUUCCCUAAAAAAUGUCAUUUAAACCUUAAGGGUAGAAAUUGCUAUUGAAAUGAAGGAGUCUUGAGGUUUUACUUGCUUUUUGAGAAUUUGUAUUAAGGAGCACUUAUCUGUUCGUGAUUGUCUCCCCUGGUCUGCAACCAAGAUGUGCAAUUUCUGCAAUGUCUACUCUUCCUGGGGUUCUGCUUUUACUUUGUAUUCUUUUAAGCUUCUACUACUUUUAUUCUUACCUUGUAGUUUUGCUGCUGUUUUGUACUGAUCAAUUUUGUUUCCUUGUUGUAUAAUCUGGGAGGAGCUUUUCCUCUGACCCUUUAUAUAUAUGAUAUCCUUUUCUCUUACAAUUUUUUUUAUUCUAAUUCAAUAAUAAUAAACAAUAUUAACACUACAAUACUAUGUUUUUUCACAGGAAGUAUACUAUCUAGGCUCAUUCUGUGGUGGUAUCGAGCAAGGAGGGAGUAACUGUGAGUGUUUCAGCUUGACAUAUAUAUGUUUUUGGUUUCUGAUUUUAUUGUUAGUGUUAGUAAAUUUGAAGAACCUUGUGUAGAAAUGAAAUUUCUCUUUUUAUAGGAUAUAGAUUGACUUUUGUUCUAUGAGAUAUUCAUAUAGAAAAGCAUAAGAUAGAUAUAGAGUAGUUAUUUACCUGAUGAAGCCACAUCAAGCACAAUCUUUUUUUUCCAGCCCUGAGCCUUGCAAUGAUUGUCCUAUAGAGAAAUUCAAGAGAACUAAGUUUAGUGAUAAUAAAAUGUUAGUAAAAGACAAUAAAAAAUUGAAACCUUCUUGUCAAUUAGAUUUAGAACCAUAU